UACGUAGGGGGCAAGCGUUGUCCGGAUUUAUUGGGCGUAAAGAGCGUGUAGGCUGCUUGGUAGGUCCGCUGUGAAAACUCGAGGCUCAACCUCGAGAUGUCGGCGGAAACCACUUGGCUAGAGUCCGGAAGAGGAGAGUGGAAUUCCUGGUGUAGCGGUGAAAUGCGCAGAUAUCAGGAAGAACACCUAUGGCGAAGGCAGCUCUCUGGGACGGUACUGACGCUGAGACGCGAAAGCGUGGGGAGCGAACAGG
RNAcentral lists this ribosomal RNA (253 nucleotides) under uncultured bacterium. RNAcentral describes it as "partial 16S ribosomal RNA". It matches the Rfam family "Bacterial small subunit ribosomal RNA", at positions 524 to 776 of the family's 1533-position model. The record is from RNAcentral.